UUUCCUUCACAAAUUGUCCCCGAAACGCCGGAGGAAGUGCCAGUUAGACUAGAGAACACAUUUGCUGGGUACAAGAAAACAAGGAGGAGACUAUUAGAAUCUCCAUCAAAAUUGAGUGUCAAAAAACCUAAAAUUGGGUGAUAUCAAUGGUCAUCUCUCCAGUUUCAGGUUCGCUUAAGUACCAUACCUCGUUAUCUUCACAGUCAGCAUCAUCCUCGUCAACCAUAGCAGAAAAUUCAAGCUCUUCAAGCUCUUCAGCAGAAAUUUCAAUAAAAGGAUCCCAUGUAGCAGCAGCAGCAGCAACAACAGUUAACUCUCUCUCUCCCACGGGAUGUGCAUACUCCAUGAAGCUUCUUUCAGCAUCUUGGCUUUCCAAAUUCAAGUCGAACAAGUGCAUGUGUGUGAUGUGAGUGAAAUUAUGAAGUGUAGUAGCAGUGUUUUUUUGUAGUUGUAACUGGUGGGAGUUAUUUUGGUGGUGUUGUGUUUUUAUAAGAGUUUAGGGCAAAAAAGUUCUCCAAAAUUUAAAUUGUAAAGUUUUCCCCCUUUUUCAAAUUUUCAUUAAAUGUUUGGAGGGAAAACCAAUUCUGUUUUCAUUUUCCCUCCUUACAUUGUACUGUAAUCUGUAAUUAAGAGGAGAAAGUCCCCACUUGCUUUUUGGAUUACCCCAUUUCUUUUGACAUUAAUUAAAGUACAUCACAUGGGUUGUUGUA
Long non-coding RNA from Spinacia oleracea (spinach), 710 nucleotides. RefSeq lists it as uncharacterized. The transcript has 2 exons. NCBI's taxonomy places the organism in Eukaryota, Viridiplantae, Streptophyta, Magnoliopsida, Caryophyllales, Amaranthaceae. The record is from RefSeq and is a predicted model, not a curated record.